CUGGUGGAAAUGCCACUCCUGCUGCCUGUGAGCAAUGGCAAAUAGAACAAGGGGUUGCUGCUGAGCCUGGCGUGUGCACCCUGAGCGGGACCGGACAUCUUCCUCUGCCACGCUGCCCCGACCUUUGUGGUGAGGUUGUGCAUGGAGAAAUGUGCUGAACCACCCCGUUGCCAUGGAAACCAAGGCCGAGAGGGGACCAGCCUGCUCCUGCUAAUUGCUGUGGCUUUGUGACCCCAUCCGUCCAUCCUGCUGCCUCCCGUGAGCCUGUCCGAAUGCACAGCGCUGGCCCCAUCCUGCAUCAUCCUGCCCUUUGGCUCCCAGCCCCAAUGCUGUGAGCAGGAUCUGGGGUUCCUCUUUCUCUCCUUUGUGUUGUCACAACCUGCACAAGAUCAGUUAAAAUCCGUGGCUUGAGCAUCCCUGCAGCCCAUCACCCCGUGCGUGCACAUCUGCCUGCAUGCUUGUUGCAGGAGCACGGUGGCGGUGCAGUGAUGCACCUCCCUUGCCCUGCAUCCCGGGCUGCCCUGCCUUUAUCUCGUCCAAUUAAAUAACUGCAGAUAGUGGGCUUAAUAAGGCCCUGCUAUGAAAGAUUACUGACGAUUUCUUUCCCAACGUGCGGUGAAUUAGGAGGCAGUGAGCAGGGAAAGGACUGCUGCUAAUUACAGUCCCCCAUGUCCCCUCUGCUGCCACCACUGCUGCUGGGCCCCUCGCUGCUCCCUGCACCUGAUUGCAUUUUGCUGCUGGUUGUGGCCAAUUUGCAGCUCUCAGCUGCUGCUGCUUCUCCCUUCCCCCCACGCCCCCUGCUCCUCUUCGAGUUUAUUAAUGAAAACCUUAUCUGUCGGUGCAGAUAAUGCCAGAAAUAAUUAGUGCACACGGAGGGCUGGCAGGCUGCUCUCUGCUCCCACCACCCACACCCUCUCCUCUCACUGUUUACAGUUUCCUGUGCUGCUUGGG
This 951-nucleotide long non-coding RNA is filed under the name Gallus gallus (chicken). Its description in RNAcentral is "long non-coding RNA NONGGAT002943". The record is from RNAcentral. Lineage: Eukaryota; Metazoa; Chordata; Aves; Galliformes; Phasianidae.